Molecule: ribosomal RNA, 505 nt
Filed under: uncultured bacterium
Lineage: Bacteria
Description: partial 16S ribosomal RNA
Rfam family: Bacterial small subunit ribosomal RNA
Source: RNAcentral
GACGAACGCUGGCGGCGUGCCUAAUACAUGCAAGUAGAACGCACAGUUUAUACCGUAGCUUGCUACACCAUAGACUGUGAGUUGCGAACGGGUGAGUAACGCGUAGGUAACCUGCCUGGUAGCGGGUGAUAACUAUUGGAAACGAUAGCUAAUACCGCAUAAUAUUAAUUAUUGCUUGAUAAUUAAUUGAAAGGUGCAAUUGCACCACUACCAGAUGGACCUGCUUUGUAUUAGCUAGUAGGUGAGGUAACGGCUCACCUAGGCGACGAUACAUAGCCGAACUGAGAGGGUGGUCAGCCAGACUGGGACUGAGACACGGCCCAGACGCCUACGGGAGGGAGCAGUAGGGAAACUUCGGCAAUGGACGAAAGUCUGACCGAGCAACGCCGCGUGAGUGAAGAAGGUUUUCGGGUCGUAAAGCUCUGUUGUAAGGGAAGAACGGGUGUGAGAGUGGAAAGUUCACACUGUGACGGUAUCUGACCAGAAAGGGACGGCUAACUACGUG